CUGCGCAGACUCUGUCGGAUUCUCCGCCCUCAACACUGCCCUUAAAGGUGCCGCACCCCCAGCCUGCGCUGUCAAUCAACCGGCCACCCAGGCUUGGACACCGCCCUAGCAGAACUUGAGUCAGGGCAAAGGAAACAGAGUCCCCAGAAUGCUUUGAUUCUGUCAUGCAAAUAAAUCUGCUCAAGCCAAAGAAGCUAAGCCCAGAGGCCAAGUUCCUAAUCUUCCUCCUGCCUAGCCACAUUCCAGGCUUUAACUUGGACCAAUUGUAAGAGGAACAGAACACGAGUAUCUAAAGAGGAGACUUGGAAUUUUCCAGUUAGAAUGAACAUUAGCACCCAGUUGAACUCAUAAUCAAAAGGAAUCCUCCAAAGUAGGUACUUCAUACAUACCGGCUAACUUUACUGUGCCAUUACUGAGCUCUUUUUCCCAUGGAGAGACCCCGAGGUGACCAAAUAAUGCCCAGAACUGGGACUGGCAUAGUUCUUUAAUGGAAGAUGAGCUGGAGAAGGAAAUGGCAAAGCACUCUUUCUUUACCAAGAAAACCCUAAAUGUCAUCAUGAAAGUUCAGACCUGACUGAAAGGACUCAAAAAUCAAACUGCCCCGGUUAUGCCAUAACUGGUGUAUUAUUCAAUUCUGGGAUUCCAUCCAGUAGGAGGAAAGGGAGAGAUUCAGUCAGGCUCCUUCUCUUUGAUGUUCAACUCUCCUUCCUGGUCCUCUAAUAUCCAAUAAUAAUAGUGGCCCCCAAAUGGAAAAUAGUAGCUCCCACUGUACUUACCAAUUUGUUCUUUAAUAUAACCUUUGGCCUUAAA
Molecule: non-coding RNA, 810 nt
Organism: Monodelphis domestica (gray short-tailed opossum)
Lineage: Eukaryota; Metazoa; Chordata; Mammalia; Didelphimorphia; Didelphidae
Source: RefSeq, a predicted model, not a curated record